Molecule: unclassified non-coding RNA, 409 nt
Filed under: plant metagenome
Description: partial contains small subunit ribosomal RNA and internal transcribed spacer 1
Rfam family: Group I catalytic intron (bases 2-215)
About the family: Group I catalytic introns are large self-splicing ribozymes. They catalyse their own excision from mRNA, tRNA and rRNA precursors in a wide range of organisms.
Source: RNAcentral
UUUCCGUAGGUCGCUAGAGUUCAGCCUACCAAAGCAAACCUUUCAAAACUGCUAGUCUCUCCCCGAGGCGACACGCUCAAUGUUGCGGAGAGGCCCUCUUUUCAGAGGGUAAUCCGCAGCCGGCCCCCUAAAGGCUGGUUCAGAGACUCAAUGAGUGUGGGUUUGGCCUUUUGGCCAGGCUUAAGAUAGAGCCCGUCCCUGUAGGCAACUGCGGGGGAUGAACGGAACCUGCGGAAGGAUCAUUAAAGAAUCGGUGACCCUCGCGGUCCCAUUCUCACCCUUUGUAUACCAAGCUUCAGUUGCUUUGGCUGGCCUUCGCGGGCCGGCCAGAGGACUCAAACCCUUGAAUCUUUGCUGUCUGAGUACUAUAUAAUAGUUAAAACCUUCAACAACGGAUCUCUUGGUUCUG